This is a long non-coding RNA of Equus quagga, 1624 nucleotides long. RefSeq lists it as uncharacterized. Lineage: Eukaryota; Metazoa; Chordata; Mammalia; Perissodactyla; Equidae. The transcript has 7 exons. The record is from RefSeq and is a predicted model, not a curated record.
UUGGGCCUGGCCCUGCCUGCUUAGAUGUCAUUUAUUUGCCUAGAUAUUACAACGUUUUGUUUUAAAUAUAAUUGGAUUUUUUAUGCCUUUUUUAAAAGAAAGGUCAACCUUUCCAGCAGUAUGUACUAGAGAAAAAGUAAAUGGGAAAGCAGAUGAGAGCCCUGAGAGAGCCAUGCAGAGUGGAGCUGGAUGGACGUGGGCGGCAUAUCCAGAAACCGACGCCAGAACCACACUGUCUGGCUUUGAAUCCCAGCUCUACCACUUACUGAUCGGCUAACUUCUGUUUCAUCCGGAAGGGAUUCCACCUGCAAGAGCCUUAUAAGCAAAGCUUUUUUCACAGGAAAAAUAUUGCACAAAGAAAAAGUUUCCACGCUGUGAUUGCUUGCAUUCUGGCUAUGCCAUAAAAAGGUGUCAGAGACGACUUCCUUCACCAGGGAAACAUCUUCUGUCCCCUCUCUCUCAGCUGAGGAGCCCAACACUCCUCUCUCGCUUGUCAACUUCUUACCAGAGAAGAGAGUUCCCGGCCAAGGAUCCCCAUGAGUCUCUUGGAUUAUGUCAUCCAGAGAGUUCCAGGAAGCAGUGGGGGGUGAAGGAACCAGAUGAGGCUGCCAACCCAGCAACACUUGCUCUAACCUCGGAAUUGCUUGCUUAGGAUGAAAGGCCAACCCUCCAGUCACUGAGGUUGACGAUCGUAGGAAGCAAGUGUGGAAGCAGGGCGACCAGUGAGGAGAUGGCUGCAGAGACCCAGCUGGGAGCUGAUGCUGGCCUGGCCUGGAGUGGGGGCAAAUAGAGAAUUUACAGCAGGAAUACAUUCAUAUAUUUCCCGUGUAAUUUAAAAUGAUUAAAAAGGUCCCUCAAUGAUGUGCAGAGGAAGGCUGGUGCCGACUGUCUGACUCCAGGUCAGCCCUCACUGCCCUGUGGCCCCGGAGCUGCCCUUCUCCAGAUGAUGAGCUCCAGGGUCAUUCUGACUCCACCCCAGGCUCCAGCCCCGGCAGAGAUGACAGGCUCUCCUGAGAAGUACCAGCUGAUGAAAGAGGAGGCGGGGGCAUGCUCAGGUUGCCGCAGCUUCUGCAAGUUGCAGGAAGUGAGGAAACUUGAGUCUGCUGGAGCCACAAGCUGCUCAGGAUGCAGGCCUCUAAGGUGUCACUGACAAAGGGGCUUGUGGAAGUGAUAUGUUGGUGAAGGCAGAGUGAGGCAGAACUUCAGACAGAGGGGCAGGGCUACCCGCUUUUUGUCCUUGCGUUUAUUUCAACUCAGCCUAGCUCUCUUCUUUGGAAGUCCCUGCUGUUCAGCCCAUGACAAGCUCAGAUGGGGCUGCAGAGCUAGAGACAUGGGACGCCCCGGCCCAAGAAGGAGGGAGGAGGCCUGGCUUCUAGCUCUUGACUUCAUCACUGACCAUCUGUCAUGAGCCUGGGGCUUAUCACUUAACCUCUUUGGACCUCAGUUUCUGCAUCUGUAAAAUGGUGAUUGUCAUCCCUCUAGGGGAAUUUAAUAUGAACAAAUUAUUAACUGCUGUUUUUCUUGUAAUGUGGAAAACAGCAGUGUCAUAAAGCAUUGACUUUUCAGGCUGUGCUCUGGGUACCAAUAUGAUGAGUAAGGAAGAGGGUGAGUAGGUGGGACUCUA